AAUAGAUACCCGGGUAGUCCACGCCGUAAACGAUCGAGUGCUAAGUGUUAGAGGGUUUCCGCCCUUUAGUGCUGCAGCUAACGCAUUAAGCACUCCGCCUGGGGAGUACGGUCGCAAGACUGAAACUCAAAGGAAUUGACGGGGGCCCGCACAAGCGGUGGAGCAUGUGGUUUAAUUCGAAGCAACGCGAAGAACCUUACCAGGUCUUGACAUCCUCUGACAACUCUAGAGAUAGAGCGUUCCCCUUCGGGGGACAGAGUGACAGGUGGUGCAUGGUUGUCGUCAGCUCGUGUCGUGAGAUGUUGGGUUAAGUCCCGCAACGAGCGCAACCCUUGAUCUUAGUUGCCAGCAUUUAGUUGGGCACUCUAAGGUGACUGCCGGUGACAAACCGGAGGAAGGUGGGGAUGACGUCAAAUCAUCAUGCCCCUUAUGACCUGGGCUACACACGUGCUACAAUGGAUGGUACAAAGGGCUGCAAGACCGCGAGGUCAAGCCAAUCCCAUAAAACCAUUCUCAGUUCGGA
Molecule: ribosomal RNA, 523 nt
Filed under: uncultured bacterium
Lineage: Bacteria
Description: bacterial SSU rRNA
Rfam family: Bacterial small subunit ribosomal RNA
Source: RNAcentral